GGAGUGUGAGGAACUACAAGCAAAGGUAGAAACUUUGAGCACUGAGAAUACUGCACUCAGAGAUGAGCUGCAGAGGCUUUCUGAGGAAUGCGAGAAGCUUACAUCUGAAAAUAAUUCCAUUAAGGUCUCCCUCUCUCUGCCUCCUCCCUCUGCUUGUCCUUUUUAUGUUAUUUCAAUAAGCAUUGCAUUUUUUGAGUUUCAUUAUUAUUAUUUACUCCAAAAUUUUCCUAAUACGGGAAAGGGGAAAUAAAACCUUUGCAGAUUAUCAAUCUAGGUAUGACCAUACCCAAAUCUUUACUGAAAUUAAAACAAGUUUCUUUGGCUCUUCAUGAAAGCACUGCUUGCAGUUUUUGUAUGAACCACAUGAAUUGAAAAGAGAUGACAUUUGUGGUCUAGUUUUAUACUGUAAUAGUGCUAACAGACUAAUAUUUGUACUAAUUGGUAGCUAUAUGAACUACUAGACUUCAGCUCUCCUUUUAUGUUUUUCAUUUGUCUCAGCAAAAAUUAUAUACCUAUUAAUCACAAUGAUAAUUUUGCUGCUCAAACAGGAAGAAUUGACUCGGGUAUGUGGAGCAGAUGCAGUGGCUGCAAACCUCAAAGAGAAAAACCCCACACAACUCCAAUCUCAGGGCGUCGAGGGCAACAGUUGAGUAUGCAGUCGACAUUGAAAUUUCUUCUUAAAACCUCAGGUAUUUCUGACUUUGGCUUUAAUUGAGAAUCAAG
This 723-nucleotide long non-coding RNA is filed under the name Vitis vinifera (wine grape). RNAcentral's name for it is "long non-coding RNA (VVIN_LNC001159)". The record is from RNAcentral. Lineage: Eukaryota; Viridiplantae; Streptophyta; Magnoliopsida; Vitales; Vitaceae.